RNAcentral lists this ribosomal RNA (586 nucleotides) under uncultured bacterium. Its description in RNAcentral is "bacterial SSU rRNA". It matches the Rfam family "Bacterial small subunit ribosomal RNA", at positions 239 to 842 of the family's 1533-position model. The record is from RNAcentral.
GAUUAGGUAGUUGGUGAGGUAACGGCUCACCAAGCCGACGAUCGGUAGCCGGACUGAGAGGUCGAACGGCCACAUUGGGACUGAGACACGGCCCAGACUCCUACGGGAGGCAGCAGUGGGGGAUAUUGCACAAUGGGGGAAACCCUGAUGCAGCGACGCCGCGUGUGGGAAGACGGUCCUCUGGAUUGUAAACCACUGUCCCCAGGGACGAAGAUGACGGUACCUGGGGAGGAAGCUCCGGCUAACUACGUGCCAGCAGCCGCGGUAAUACGUAGGGAGCGAGCGUUGUCCGGAAUUACUGGGUGUAAAGGGAGCGUAGGCGGGACUGCAAGUUGGGUGUCAAAUCUACCGGCUCAACCGGUAGCCGCACUCAAAACUGCAGUUCUUGAGUGAAGUAGAGGCAGGCGGAAUUCCUAGUGUAGCGGUGAAAUGCGUAGAUAUUAGGAGGAACACCAGUGGCGAAGGCGGCCUGCUGGGCUUUUACUGACGCUGAGGCUCGAAAGUGUGGGGAGCAAACAGGAUUAGAUACCCUGGUAGUCCACACCGUAAACGAUGAUCACUAGGUGUGGGGGGUCUGACCCCUUCC